This 503-nucleotide ribosomal RNA is filed under the name uncultured bacterium. RNAcentral's name for it is "partial 16S ribosomal RNA". It matches the Rfam family "Bacterial small subunit ribosomal RNA", at positions 899 to 1397 of the family's 1533-position model. The record is from RNAcentral.
ACUCAAAGGAAUAGACGGGGGCCCGCACAAGCGGUGGAGCAUGUGGUUCAAUUCGAUGCAACGCGAAGAACCUUACCCGGGUUUGAACUUUACUUGAAGUGCUCAGAGAUGAGUAUGUCUAGCAAUAGACAAGUAGAGAGGUGCUGCAUGGCUGUCGUCAGCUCGUGUCGUGAGAUGUUGGGUUAAGUCCCGCAACGAGCGCAACCCUUGCUGUUAGUUGCACACUCUUAAAUGGGAAAGCACUCUAACUAGGACUGCCGGUGAUAAACCGGAGGAAGGUGGGGAUGACGUCAAGUCAUCAUGGCCUUUAUGUCCGGGGCUACACACGUGCUACAAUGACCGGUACAAAGGGAAGCCAAGCCGCGAGGUGGAGCCAAUCCCAUAAAACCGGCCUCAGUUCGGAUUGUAGUCUGCAACUCGACUACAUGAAGGUGGAAUCGCUAGUAAUCGCGGAUCAGCAUGCCGCGGUGAAUACGUUUCCGGGCCUUGUACACACCGCCCGU